UCCGGGGUAACUCAAUCGGCAGAGUGCUCGGCUGUUAACCGAGAUGUUGUGGGUUCGAGUCCCACCCCCGGAG
RNAcentral lists this transfer RNA (73 nucleotides) under Actinomycetes bacterium. Its description in RNAcentral is "Actinobacteria bacterium tRNA-Asn". It matches the Rfam family "tRNA". From Rfam's summary of the family: Transfer RNA (tRNA) molecules are approximately 80 nucleotides in length. Their secondary structure includes four short double-helical elements and three loops (D, anti-codon, and T loops). Lineage: Bacteria; Bacillati; Actinomycetota; Actinomycetes. The record is from RNAcentral. RNAcentral also lists the same sequence under 2 other names.